RNAcentral lists this ribosomal RNA (311 nucleotides) under Proteus mirabilis. RNAcentral describes it as "partial 23S ribosomal RNA". It matches the Rfam family "Bacterial large subunit ribosomal RNA", at positions 232 to 581 of the family's 2925-position model. Lineage: Bacteria; Pseudomonadati; Pseudomonadota; Gammaproteobacteria; Enterobacterales; Morganellaceae. The record is from RNAcentral.
AGAUUCCCCUAGUAGCGGCGAGCGAACGGGGAGCAGCCCAGAGUCUUAAUCAAUAGCAGUGUCAGGAGAACGGUCUGGAAAGUCCGGCAGUAAAGGGUGAUAGCCCCGUAUCUGAAGAUGCUGUUAUUGUGAACUCGACGAGUAGGGCGGGACACGUGUUAUCCUGUCUGAAUAUGGGGGGACCAUCCUCCAAGGCUAAAUACUCCUGAUUGACCGAUAGUGAACCAGUACCGUGAGGGAAAGGCGAAAAGAACCCCGGCGAGGGGAGUGAAAAAGAACCUGAAACCGUGUACGUACAAGCAGUAGGAGCC